GAGAUGCAUCAAUGUUAAUGUGGAAAUCUUGACAUGCCACCUAUUACUUUGGUGUGACAUAUCAGAAACUUUAUUUUCUCUCAAUAUUGCCGCAUCACUUUCAAGAGGUAUCCACCCUGCCCCGGGUUGACACUGAUUGGUAAUUUAUUCAAUGUGAAUUGCAUCUCUUAUUGAAGUUGUUUGUUUGAUCAAAUGUAUUGAGACCUCAAAGUAGCAAUGAUGAAGCUUUGUGAAUUUCUUGGUCUCCCUGUAUGCAGUUUAUUUCCUCUUUCUUAAGUUUUACAGUUAGUUUUUUCUACUCUGGUCCUUUAUCAUUGACAAGAGUCCAAUUUAUAUACCAGAUUAUUUUGUUGUUAUUUGCCACUGAUCAAUUAAUUUUGUUCCAUUUGAAUACACUGAAUGUGGGAAGUUUGAGCAUCUGGUGCACCUGGAGUGCAGCAAGGUAUAUUGCUUUUAUAGUCCUGACUGCAUAUAAUAAGAAAAACCUAGUCUCACUUCAGUCCCCUUCCAAUUAUGCUGACUGUAGGUAAUGGUGGUAAUUUCUUGCCAUGUAUUUCUUCUUAUUCUUUUUGACUGAACAAGUUUCUACUGAAUCUUUAAGUCUGCCCUGUGACUGUAUUGUGGUUCUUUUAUUUAUGUACUUUUCAUAUUUUAUCACGUAAAAGGAGGACAAAAUGAUAAAAUGAUCAUUUUCUGUGUGGGAUGUGGAGGGCAUUGGAAAUCAAGCAUUCAAGUAAACAUAGCAUGAGUGUAACAUAGUUACGAAAGCAUUUUCUGUGUUGCAGUUGCUUUUUAAGGUUGGUUGUUUAUAUUUUUGUAAACACCAAGAGAAGGUAAUGUGUGUUUUUUAAAUGGGUAAUUUUGUGUUACUAUAUUUUCAUACCAUCCUUUUUAUAUUCUACUCUUUUGUCCUUUCUAUUCACUAUCCUUUUCUCAGGUGCAACUUCUGCACAACAAUUAUGUCACCUUUCAAGACCACAAGUUGCUACUUGUACCUCUCUAGUUUCUGGUCCGUUUUCCUGUGCACUUUCAGCUAGUCCUGCUAAUCUUCUACACUACAAGUAGCUCUCAGAAUAUGGUACCACCUCAAAAGCACUCUUCAGCAAGUUCAAAGCAUCAUUACUCAGCAAUACAUGUCCAAGAAACAGUUGCCUUUGUUUUUGCAAAAGGGGAUAUGUAGCAUCACAAGGGUCAUCAAUGUAGGCAAAAACAUACUCGUAGAGUCACGGUCAAUCACUUUGAGUAAAUCUUCGUACAGAAUCUCAAGGGGAUGAAGUUCUCCGUUGAUGCCUAGAAUCAAGACCUUUUAAGCUGCUUGGCUCACAACAAUAUUACCUGUAUUCUUUAAAUUCUCUUCUAAGUGCCUCAAAUCUAUAGCUUGGCAAAGAGCGACGAGGUAGGUUGCAGACAUAAGCUUCAAUAUGUCUACAGCUUCAGCUGUUUUUCUAGCUGAGAUUAGUGCUAAUUGGGUCACAUCGUGGUUGUGUUGUUCUGCACUUUGUGCAUGACUUGUUACAGGGUUUGCUAGACACUGAAGCUCAGAACAAUAUGAAGCUUGGUAUCUCAUUGCUGUUGAUUCCAUAAUCCAAACUCAGACAGCGACCCACCGGAGAGAUUUGAAGGGAGCCCCGUAUUGUAGAAAGCAUAUUAACCAGCUCAGACAUCCUGAUCAAAAAUGAGUUAUCCCAUUGCAGCCAAAUGAGCCAAUGCUAAUCUUCUGUUGUCCAUUGAAACUCCUAUAGGAGCGAGUACCUUGAAAUUUGCUUAGGAUUGCCAAAUAUUUUUUAAUACUUUAUGGAUUUCCAAAUAUUUUAUUAAUACUUUAUGGAUUGCUAAAUGUUAUGGUGAUUUCCCAUGAUAUUUGUUGCCUGUUGGUGGUGUUUUUUGCCUUGUUCCUUGACACAUCCAUCUAAGGGUUGUCAUUCGCCUAGUUUAUCUCCCUUUUGUUGGAUUUUGUUGAUGAUCAAAUAAUUUCAAUUUGAGGACCUAACCAUUGUGGUGCAGUUUGAAGAGCAUUUCUAUCUUGCUUAUGCUUUUGGACAGGGUCUAUCUCAUGUAACUCGUGUGCUCCUUUAACAUAAAGCACUUCAAGAUGUGUUCCAUUAUUGAUGUUGCUUCAUGCUAGCCUGAAUGAUGCUACAGUUUGUGUAAAAAGGUCUGUAAAUUCCGGCCUUCCCUUGUGUAACUUCUGAAAAAUUAACUGACAUGAUUUCAAAUAAGAUAAUUAAAAUGUUACUGGUGAUGCCAAACCAGCUCCAAAAAACAGUUAUAUAUGCAAAUUCUAAAGGGGGGUCUACUAGUCCACUCACUUUAUUUAUUGUCUGGUAUAACAAACAAUGUCUGUGAUUGUUGAACAUUUAUGCAAAUUGAUUGUGGAAUACCAAUUUAUGAGUACUUUAAACUCUUUAGUGCUACUAUUUCAAAGUUCAAACCCUCAAUAGCUACUAGAGUUUUCAAUGGAUAUACAGUCCUUUAUAAUCAGAAGUCAAUGCACUAUCUGCUCCAUAGACCUAAUCUUUGUUUUAGUACUUGGUAGAAUAGUGUUGGUAUUGAGGGUGAUAUGCCUUGACUCUAAUGUUUUUUGGCCAAGCAUGUGUUUGUUCAGUUCUACCUAUUUUACCUUAUUUACAUACACAGGCCACAAAUUUUAGGUCAGAGAAAUAGUCUUCCAACCCCCUUAUAAAGCAAGAGAAGAUUAGCAUUUAUUCCUUGCUGUAGCAUAGAAUAGAAACUGAAAAACACGUCUGCUGUAUAAUCUUCAGAUUGAUUCUAAUGUAGCUGUUGUAUAAUACAUAAUUCAAAAUUCAAAUACAUUGUAGCCAUUAAUAUGUAAAAUUUCUCUCUCCUUUUCUCUCACACACACAAACACUUUGUAUUUGAAAGGAUUCAACUGCAUGUGGUCCGUUGCCUGCUCAAGAAUUUUGACUUGGAAAAUCAUCUAAAUUUGUGCUUUGUUUCAUAACAUCUGGAAUAUUCUUUCCCAUUUCCAUAGCACUAAAUAGUUUCAUUUCUAUUACUUGUAGUGUAUAGGUUGGAAUAAAUGAAGUUGGAGCUCAAAUUUGUUUUUGCUUUCGUUAUUAGCUUGCUCUGGAUUCAGCAUUCAUUCUGUAUUUUUGUGUAAGUAUAAUAAUUUAGAGAACAUUUGGUGAUUUGCCCUCCAAUUGUUGUUCCUGAAAGUUUGAUGCUUGACUGCUUUAAAAGAAGAAAAAAUGAGAAUAUAUCAACUUUUGAUAUUGUUGAGUAUCACAUGGACAUGUCAUUCCUGCAACAUUAAAAAAGUUGUGUUUAGUUUCAGUUUUGCCAAGCACUCAAGUCAUUUCGUUGCUAGUAUCACAAAUCAUAUAACAUUUGGCAUUUGACUCUCUAAUUCUUGCCAGAAGCAGCAUACCUUGUAUACUGUGAUACUUAGGAGGUGCUAACCUUCCUAAAUAAAAAAAUUAAAGAGGAAAUAACUGCAUACAAUAUUGGGCAAUGCCACACACUUUAUUCCCCAACAUCAAAUAAGUCAUUUAAGUUUAACUUUUCUGUUCUUUAAAUAUUAAGUUGGGAUUUGUUUGCAAGUUUCAUCUCAGCGAGAGUCUAACUGGGCCAAAAAUCUCCUUUUUCUUCUUUUUUUGCCUUCCAUUGUUUCUUAGCAGAUAAACCUUCAAAUAUAUCUGUCCUAAGCCAGUGGAAAUGUAGAUGUUCUUCCUUCCCAGGGAACCAAAGCUACUCUGUUGCUAAUUGCUCUAAGUCAUGUAAUUGCCAUUCAGGUGUGCUGCUAACUUGUUAUUGGAAUAGAGACGAUGAGUCUCCAACUGAUAAAUUUGUUUUUCUCUUUCUUAUUUUUCACUUGUUAUAUUAUUCACAUGAUUAUUUAGCUUGAGAUUUACCUUUGUGUAUGUUUAGUGGAUGAAUUUUUGCAAAAGUUGUACUGUAACUAAAACUUAUUUAAAUUCAUAUAAGUUGCUUUUAUUAUAAAUUACAGAUUAUAUUGUAGAGUGGUGAAAACUAAUUGCAUGUUUUGUUCUAGAAUUCAAGUUUAAAUAUUGACAGAACACUGAACUUUUUGAAAUUUUUUGCAUUUUGUUGAGAUGUGAGUGUGGUUACUAACCAAUAUGAAUAUGGUAGGAGUGCAAUAUCGUAUCCAUUUUAGAUUAAAUGGGUUUGCUGUGAGCACUGCCAUUAUAUGGUAAUUACUUUCCUUCCAUGUAGAUGCAGAGGAAGAUGUAAAAACAAACGCCUUCAGUUAAUAAUGCAUCAAAAAGUGGUUUGUUUGGCAAGGUUUCUUAACUCUUAUAAAUGCAUGGUAUUACUUUGUUGAAUUUAGUACUUGUAAUUGACAAGUUUUUUUUUCUUUUUAUUUCCUUGUACCAUGCAAAUUUCAGCAUUGGACUGUUGCUGCUUUGCUAACGCACAAACUUGACCGUGAUGAUUCUGUUAUGCUUGUGGAAUAGCAUUUGAAUUUUGAUUGCAAGAUAAUAGAGGGCGUUCAAAAUGUAGAGAAUGGAUGUGGAAACUGAAGAAAGACUUUUUAUGCCACAUAUGAAACAAUUACGUCUGUGGCUCUCCAAACGUUUCUGAAUCAUGAAGCAGGGUUUAUUCCUAUACAGAGGUAGCACCAAAAAGUGGAAUUGGCCUAUGCAGAUAUUUCCAGAAAUGUCGAAGUGAAGCAACUUCUGAUGCAACAGGAGGAAGUGAAGAAGUUGACAGCAGAUAAGGUGCACAGUAGAGUGGGUUGCUUAUCUAGCCUGUUCAUGCAAUGAUGUGAUGAGAACAGAAAAGCUCAAUGGAGAUAUAUGUGAUGGCGAAACAUCAGCUAUUCUCAGCAAGUUCGUUACUUGAUCACGAUAUAGGUGGCUAUGGCUAAAUUGCGAUGUCGUAAUAUUUUGCAGGGAAAACUACCUUUGUGAAAAGUCAUCUCACUGGUGUAUUCGAGAAGAAAUAUGAAAGUAUGCUUAAUUACUCUUUUAAUUCUGCAAUAUAUUUUUAUACACAAUGUCACAUGUUUUGACAGUAUCUCAUCCACCCCCGAAAGGUUUUCUGGCAGUAUCUCAUCCUCCCCUGUUUUCACGCCGGCCGGUGACUCAUCCGGUGACCGCCGAAGCACUUCUAGACUAUCCUCCUCAGGUCUCCGGUUACCCAAAUCAGGACCCAAAUCCCCUAAGGUCAGCAAUUAGCAAUACCCAAAAAAGUUUCUCGUAUGUUGAAGUUAAAAAGAUUCAAUCUUUAUCUUUUUUUCUAAAUUAUUGAAUGAAUCAUCUUAUAUCUCUCACUUCGAUUUUUCUGACAUUUUUAUUUUAUUCGUUAAUUAGUUAGUAUAUGGUUGAAUGUUUUAGUGUUGAAAAUUUGUCCUAGUACUUUUUUAACAUCGUUUUCUGAUUGUUGUUGCUUAAUUUUUUAUGUCUAUGGACACCAAACUUUGACCUUAUUUGAUUUUCCUAGAAUGGAGGCAUCUAAGUAGGAAUCUGUGGUAAAGAUGAGUUGCAUUGUAUUUCUUCUUUUUAUGCAAUGGACUUAGUAGUGGACCUGCAAUCGGGACAGAAACAUGUGGGCAAUCUUAGACACUAGUAUGUAAUAGUGAACUUUGCAAAUGUUGCAUUUAUCUAUGAAUACUUUAUUGAGGCACCCUUCAGAUUUGCCAUUUCAUUGAACUUAUUUAUUUAAAUUAUCUGAUUAAAAGAGAAUCUACUAGUAGACAAUUGAUGUAUCUCCCCAUACAUCAAGACAUAUGUGGCCACUAUGGGAUUUGGUUUGAAUUUAGGAGUUAGGACUAAAUGCUGCUACCAGUUAGGUUACUUUUUAAUCACAGUCUAAUUUCAAGUCGAGGCUUUUGAACUUGAAAAUUAAUUUAAAAUAAUAGUGAAAGUAUUAAUGUGUGUGAAGGGGUGGGGGUAUUGUUUUCAUUCCUGGCAAAGUUUAUAGAUAGUUGGAAAAGGUUGAAGAUGUUUGUAUUUGCAUCCUAGUGUUCUUCAAAAGCUGAAAGAUUCAGGAAUUAUAGUUUAAAGACUUUGGUUGAAUUUUAGUGAUCUGAUACACUUUCUCGGAUUGUUAACUGUUGAUACAAGGUGUCUUAUUUAAAAAUAUAUUUCUGAUUGGUGCAUCCAUUGCCAUCCUUGUUGAUCAGAAAACAGUAAUAGAUGUUGCCUAAAACUUGGAAAAAAUAUUAUUGGGCAUUCUACAAAGUAUCAGGUUACCAACACCCGAAGUAAGAUUUUUAGCUAGAGCAGUAGUUUUUAUAAUAUCCCAUUUAUGAGUUUACUGUUUACUGAUAGAUAAUACCCAAUAGUUUAGAUUUUUGUUUGGUCUUCAACGUUUGAAAUUUUAAUUGAAACAUCGUUUUGAAUCGAUUCACUCUUUCUGACUAGUAAGUGGUGAAUGAAUACCAGGGAUUAUUUGAACCUGGCAGAGCUCUCUUUCUUUCUAGAUUUUCAAUCUUGUUUGACAAAGCUAAGUCACUCUAAUGGAAUAACAUUCUUAAUUAUUCAAGAAUGUUCAUUCUUGGUGGAUUGAAAUUGUGGGUAAACGAACCUGGUAGAAUAGAGAGUGAGAGAAAGAGAAUAAGAUUUCCUUGUGUCGUUUUCCCACCCUAUAUUAGUUCCACAACUCUUGGCAUCUUCUUGGAGGAUUCUAGUAGUUUUGCCUAUUAGAAAGUGAUAGUUUAUGGGGGAUUCUAGUAGUUUCUAGAAUAUUUGCGAUCUCUAAGAAUCAAAUUUGCCUCAAUUAAUUGAGUCAAUCUAUGCAUAUUAUGAACAUUUAGCAGGAUUUUGUUUUAGUUGAUGAAUAAGGAGAUACUAUGUGGUGAUGAUGGUUGUUUUUAUUUGUUGUGUCAUAUUUAUACAGUGGUGAUGAUAGCAAUUCCGUAUUUGAUUCGUGGUAAUUUGUGUCAGGGCCAAAUGACUAUAGUUUUUGUCAGGGUUGAACAUUAGUUGAGCUGGACCAGGUAAGGUUUAUCCAUUCAUCAUUAGAUAGAUAAAAUUAUAUUUGAAAUUAUUUCAUGGUUUAUAAUAAGCAAUAUAUAAAAUUCAUAAGAUAUGUGUGGGGUGAUUAAUUUCCAAUAAGUACUGGAAGCAGAGGGAGGAAAGUCAGAUAUAUGUACAUAAAAUUAAAAUAAGAGUAAAUUAUACUGACACCCCCUGAGUUUCUAGCUCAUUGAAAUGUAUAAGUUCAUUCAGAUCAAUGAUGAUAGGUAUGUUAAAAGAGGGUAUAGUAGGUUGGAGAUGGCCAGAUAGUUGCUGGGUCAAAAGUAAUGAGAUCAAUUAUUUCUGGAUCUAAUUUAAUAAUUAUAUUGCUUGUUUUAUUCUUAUGAAGCCCUUAGAACAAACAAUCAAUAUCUUAUAACAUUGCAAUAGGAAAAAAAUAGUGAGUAAUUAAUGAGAGCAUAUCUAUCUGAUACUCAACUGCACAGAUUUAUGAAGGGGUUGUUGUUGACGGUUUAGUUUUCUUGGAGAGUGUGUUUUUUGCCACUGAUCAAUUAAUUUUGUUGGAUUUGAAUUUACUGAAUGUACUGAAGUUUGAGCAUUUGUUGCACCUGCAGUGCAGCAAUGUAUAUUGCUAGUAUAGUGAUUACGCAAUUAUUGGAGAAUAUGGAGGAUGAGCAUAUAACAUUUUGUUGUAUUAUUGGAUAACAUUGUGCUUCUAUUAUUUAUGUACUUUUCAUACUUUAUCACUUAAAAGGGGGACAAAAUGAUAAUAUGAUCUUUUGGUGUGGGAUGUAGAGGGCAUUGGAAAUCAAGCAUUCAAGUAAACAUAGCAAGACAGUAACAUAGUCACGAAAGCAUUUUCAGCAUUGCAGUUGCUUUUUAAGGUUGGUUGUUUAUAUUUUUGUAAACAUCAGGAGAAGGUAAUGUGUGUGUUUUUUAAAUGGGUAAUUUUGUGUUACUAUAUUUUCGUACCAUCCUUUUAUAUUCUACUUUGCCUUUUCUGUUUGUCCUUUCUAUUCACUAUCUUUUUCUCAGGUGCAAGUUCUGCACAACAAUUAUGUCACCUUUCAAGACCGCAAGUUGCUACUUGUCCCUCUCUAGUUUUGGGUCCAUCUUCCUGUGCACCUUCAGUCCUACUAAUCUCCUACACUACAAGUAGCUCUCAGAAUACGGUACCACCUCAAAUGCACUAAUCUUCAGCAAGUUCAA
RNAcentral lists this long non-coding RNA (8111 nucleotides) under Lupinus angustifolius (narrow-leaved blue lupine). Its description in RNAcentral is "long non-coding RNA (LANG_LNC001198)". The record is from RNAcentral. Lineage: Eukaryota; Viridiplantae; Streptophyta; Magnoliopsida; Fabales; Fabaceae.